This 362-nucleotide unclassified non-coding RNA is filed under the name Hevea brasiliensis (rubber tree). The record is from RNAcentral. Lineage: Eukaryota; Viridiplantae; Streptophyta; Magnoliopsida; Malpighiales; Euphorbiaceae.
CAGGAUUCUCAAGAGCAGCUGGGCAUUCCUUAAGUGCCAAAUUGAACCAUUUAUCUCUUGGCCUUACACCAGAAGAGGAGGACGAAGAGGAAGAUGGAGACCAUAUAGCUUGCUCACCACUGUAAUUACGAGAUGACAUAUAAGGAGACCUCGACUCCAGUAUUAUGUGGAGACUUUUAGCAAAAAAUUCAGUGAUAAUUUGUUCCAUUUUGGCACCUUCAGUGUGACUAUUACUAUGAGAUGAUGCCAUAUUAGAAAAUGAACUACAAAAGCACAAACCCAGAAGGUAAAUAAGUUAAGAGACACAUCGUUGAAGAGGAUCAAAAAGUUCUGAAAACAGAAACCCUUUUGUGUUUUGAUUG